This 107-nucleotide small RNA is filed under the name Marmota monax (woodchuck). The record is from RNAcentral. Lineage: Eukaryota; Metazoa; Chordata; Mammalia; Rodentia; Sciuridae.
GCUGGGUGUGGUGGUGCAAGCCUGUAAUCUCAGUGACUUGGGAAACUGAGGCAGGAGGAUCACAAGUUUGAGGCCAGCCUCAGCAACUUAGCAAGACCCUGUCUCAA